RNAcentral lists this long non-coding RNA (1061 nucleotides) under Mus pahari (shrew mouse). RNAcentral's name for it is "predicted gene, 44172 (MGP_PahariEiJ_G0005040.1)". Lineage: Eukaryota; Metazoa; Chordata; Mammalia; Rodentia; Muridae. The record is from RNAcentral.
AUAAUCAACAGGAUAUUUGGUGCAAGACUAUUUAAGUACAAAGAUUUGAUUGUUGUUCUCGAGCUCUAGACAGAUCUUUCCAUUUGUCCCGAGGGCAAGGCACUAGUUACUUUUCUGUUGCUGUGAUAAAACACCACAGCCAAAGGCUCCUGGUUGCUGAGGGAUAUCUGUCCGUCAUCGUCCAUUAUGGAAGGGAGCAAGUAGCAGGAACGGCAGCAGGAGCAGGAAGCUGACAGACCGCCAUCUUUAACAGCAAGCAUGAAACAGAGAGAAAUGAAUGACAAAUGCCUGCCCCCAGGGACAUCCUCCAAGGCUGUGUCACCAAACAGUGUCAUUUACCAGCCUGAUGGUGUAAAUUAUUUGUCGCAUUAAGUCAUUCCAAAGUUAUCACACAAUCCGAUGCCUUAACAAACACCCUCUCAUUUAAUGUAGGUUAGGAAUCUGGGAGCACUCGGAUGGGUAUAAUUAAUCAUUGCUCACUGGGCUGUGAAUCACCUGGGGAAGAGUCUGUUGGUGAGGUCACUCACAUGGUUAAGCUUACCCUCAGUUCCUCCAGAGGCCACCCUUUUUUUCCUGCACCACAGAAAAGGUCUCCAUGGGGCACUUGAGAUGGCAGCCAGCUUCCCUGGGGAUUGGAUGAGCAAACAGGAAGGGGUGAGCAGGACAGACGACAGCCUGUUUUUACCACCUCAUCUCAGAAGUGACUCACCUGCUGGAAUGUCAGUUGUUAGAAGUCAGUGCUAGAUCCAGGCCACAGUGCAGGUAAGAGAAUCGGACAGGAGCGAGUAUGAGGCCAGGCGGGUCACUGAGCGCUUUCCUCAAUGCAGUCCGCUUUCUGACCCCGGGGCUUCACACUGCAGUCACAUGCAGAGCAUACAGCCUUCCAAAGACUUCCUCGAUUGUAGGCGAGUAACUGAACCCUAUUCAUAGUUGGAAAUGUGCUCAUCUUUUCUUACUGAUUUGAACAUGAAGAAAGGGCAAUGGUCUUCACUAUGGAAGGAAGCUAUAGGAGUCGAUACCAAUAAAGCCAGCCUAAUGAAUAACAUUCUAGAAAAAAAAUA